GCCAAUAUCUUUGCAGGAGAACCAAGGUCCAAGUGUUUAGGGUCCUAUUUGCUACCUGUCUCACUGUAUGGCUGAAACAGACCAGACUCAA
This is a long non-coding RNA of Thalassophryne amazonica, 91 nucleotides long. RefSeq lists it as uncharacterized. The record is from RefSeq and is a predicted model, not a curated record. Lineage: Eukaryota; Metazoa; Chordata; Actinopteri; Batrachoidiformes; Batrachoididae. The transcript has 3 exons.